UUAUACAGACAGGAGAUACAGGUCAUAUUAUACAGGAGAUACAGGUCAUAUUAUACAGGAGAUACAGGUCAUAUUAUACAGGAGAUACAGGUCAUAUUAUACAGACAGGAGAUACAGGUCAUAUAAUACAGGAGAUACAGGUCAUAUUAUACAGGAGAUACAGGUCAUAUUAUACAGGAGAUACAGGUCAUAUAAUACAGGAGAUACAGGUCAUAUUAUACAGGAGAUACAGGUCAUAUAAUACAGGAGAUACAGGUCAUAUUAUACAGUAGAUACAGGUCAUAUUAUACAGGAGAUACAGGACAUAUUAUACAGGAGAUACAGGUCAUAUUAUACAGGAGAUACAGGUCAUAUAAUACAGGAGAUACAGGUCAUAUUAUACAGACAGGAGAUACAGGUCAUAUUAUACAGGAGAUACAGGUCAUAUUAUACAGGAGAUACAGGUCAUAUUAUACAGGAGAUACAGGUCAUAUUAUACAGGAGAUGCAGGUCAUAUUAUACAGGAGAUACAGGUCAUAUUAUACAGGAGAUACAGGUUAUAUUAUACAGGAGAUACAGGUCAUAUUAUACAGGAGAUACAGGUCAUAUUAUACAGACAGGAGAUACAGGUCAUAUAAUACAGGAGAUACAGGUCAUAUUAUACAGGAGAUACAGGUCAUAUUAUACAGGAGAUACAGGUCAUAUAAUACAGGAGAUACAGGUCAUAUUAUACAGGAGAUACAGGUCAUAUUAUACAGGAGAUACAGGUCAUAUAAUACAGGAGAUACAGGUCAUAUUAUACAGGAGAUACAGGUCAUAUAAUACAGGAGAUACAGGUCAUAUUAUACAGACAGGAGAUACAGGUCAUAUUAUACAGGAGAUACAGGUCAUAUUAUACAGACAGGAGAUACAGGUCAUAUUAUACAGGAGAUACAGGUCAUAUUAUACAGACAGGAGAUACAGGUCAUAUUAUACAGGAGAUACAGGUCAUAUUAUA
This is a long non-coding RNA of Oncorhynchus keta (chum salmon), 976 nucleotides long. RefSeq lists it as uncharacterized. The record is from RefSeq and is a predicted model, not a curated record. The transcript is spliced from 4 exons. NCBI's taxonomy places the organism in Eukaryota, Metazoa, Chordata, Actinopteri, Salmoniformes, Salmonidae.